GAUGAACGCUGGCGGCGUGCUUAACACAUGCAAGUCGAACGAUGAAGCCCAGCUUGCUGGGUGGAUUAGUGGCGAACGGGUGAGUAACACGUGAGUAACCUGCCCUUGACUCUAGGAUAAGCCCGGGAAACUGGGUCUAAUACUGGAUAGGAACGUCUACCGCAUGGUGGGUGUUGGAAAGAAUUUCGGUCAUGGAUGGACUCGCGGCCUAUCAGCUUGUUGGUGAGGUAAUGGCUCACCAAGGCGACGACGGGUAGCCGGCCUGAGAGGGUGACCGGCCACACUGGGACUGAGACACGGCCCAGACUCCUACGGGAGGCAGCAGUGGGGAAUAUUGCACAAUGGGCGAAAGCCUGAUGCAGCGACGCCGCGUGAGGGAUGAUGGCCUUCGGGUUGUAAACCUCUUUCAGUAGGGAAGAAGCGAAAGUGACGGUACCUGCAGAAGAAGCACCGGCUAACUACGUG
This 465-nucleotide ribosomal RNA is filed under the name uncultured bacterium. RNAcentral's name for it is "partial 16S ribosomal RNA". It matches the Rfam family "Bacterial small subunit ribosomal RNA", at positions 28 to 507 of the family's 1533-position model. The record is from RNAcentral.